GACCGAGAACUGAGGGGACAGGUCUCCCCCUUCAGAUCCGGCAGCGGUAAUACCGCCAUAUCCAAGAACAACGAAGGAG
Regulatory RNA element from Pelobacter sp., 79 nucleotides. It matches the Rfam family "L20-Deltaproteobacteria ribosomal protein leader". The record is from Rfam. Lineage: Bacteria; Pseudomonadati; Thermodesulfobacteriota; Desulfuromonadia; Desulfuromonadales; Desulfuromonadaceae.